UGUGGAUAGGGGUGAAAGGCUAAACAAACCCGGAAAUAGCUGGUUCUCCCCGAAAGCUAUUGAGGUAGCGCGUCGCAUGGACACUUGCGGGGGUAGAGCACUGUCAUCGUUGGGGGGGUCAUUGCGAUCUACCCCGCGAUAGCAAACUCCGAAUACCGCAAAGUGAUGUGCGGCAGACAGACACCGGGUGCUAACGUCCGGUGUCAAGAGGGAAACAACCCAGACCGCCAGCUAAGGCCCCCAAUGCGUGGCUAAGUGGGAAACGAAGUGGGAAGGCUAAAACAGUCAGG
Molecule: ribosomal RNA, 290 nt
Filed under: Oxyrrhis marina
Lineage: Eukaryota; Dinophyceae; Oxyrrhinales; Oxyrrhinaceae
Description: partial Bacterial large subunit ribosomal RNA
Rfam family: Bacterial large subunit ribosomal RNA
Source: RNAcentral